UACGUAGGGGGCAAGCGUUGUCCGGAAUCAUUGGGCGUAAAGCGCGUGUAGGCGGCCCGGAAAGUCUGGUGUGAAAUCUUGAGGCUCAACCUCAAGCUGUCACUGGAUACUGUCGGGCUUGAGUCCGGAAGAGGAGAGUGGAAUUCCUGGUGUAGCGGUGGAAUGCGCAGAUAUCAGGAGGAACACCUAUGGCGAAGGCAGCUCUCUGGUACGUGACUGACGCUGAGACGCGAAAGCGUGGGGGGCAAACAGG
Molecule: ribosomal RNA, 253 nt
Filed under: uncultured bacterium
Lineage: Bacteria
Description: partial 16S ribosomal RNA
Rfam family: Bacterial small subunit ribosomal RNA
Source: RNAcentral